GACGAACGCUGGCGGUGUGCUUAACACAUGCAAGUCGAACGGUAAGGCCCUUUCGGGGGUACACGAGUGGCGAACGGGUGAGUAACACGUGAGUAACCUGCCCUCAUCUCUGGGAUAACAGUCGGAAACGGUUGCUAAUACUGGAUAUGAGCUUGCAAGGCAUCUUGUCGGUUGGAAAGAUUUUUUUUGGUUGGGGAUGGACUCGCGGCCUAUCAGCUUGUUGGUGAGGUAGUGGCUCACCAAGGCUUCGACGGGUAGCCGGCCUGAGAGGGCGACCGGCCACAUUGGGACUGAGAUACGGCCCAAACUCCUACGGGAGGCAGCAGUGGGGAAUAUUGCACAAUGGACGGAAGUCUGAUGCAGCAACGCCGCGUGCGGGAUGACGGCCUUCGGGUUGUAAACCGCUUUCAAUUGUGACGAAGCUUUUUUGUGACGGUAGCAGUAGAAGAAGCACCGGCUAACUACGUG
RNAcentral lists this ribosomal RNA (468 nucleotides) under uncultured bacterium. Its description in RNAcentral is "partial 16S ribosomal RNA". It matches the Rfam family "Bacterial small subunit ribosomal RNA", at positions 28 to 507 of the family's 1533-position model. The record is from RNAcentral.